AGCGAACGCUGGCGGCAGGCCUAACACAUGCAAGUCGAACGAACUCUUCGGAGUUAGUGGCGGACGGGUGAGUAACACGUGGGAACGUGCCCUUUGGUUCGGAAUAACUCAGGGAAACUUGUGCUAAUACCGAAUGUGCCCUUCGGGGGAAAGAUUUAUCGCCAUUAGAGCGGCCCGCGUCUGAUUAGCUAGUUGGUGAGGUAACGGCUCACCAAGGCGACGAUCAGUAGCUGGUCUGAGAGGAUGACUAGCCACACUGGGACUGAGACACGGCCCAGACUCCUACGGGAGGCAGCAGUGGGGAAUCUUGCGCAAUGGGCGAAAGCCUGACGCAGCCAUGCCGCGUGAAUGAUGAAGGUCUUAGGAUUGUAAAAUUCUUUCACCGGGGACGAUAAUGACGGUACCCGGAGAAGAAGCCCCGGCUAACUUCGUG
This 433-nucleotide ribosomal RNA is filed under the name uncultured bacterium. RNAcentral describes it as "partial 16S ribosomal RNA". It matches the Rfam family "Bacterial small subunit ribosomal RNA", at positions 29 to 507 of the family's 1533-position model. The record is from RNAcentral.